This is a long non-coding RNA of Nothoprocta perdicaria, 713 nucleotides long. RefSeq lists it as uncharacterized. The record is from RefSeq and is a predicted model, not a curated record. The transcript is spliced from 3 exons. NCBI's taxonomy places the organism in Eukaryota, Metazoa, Chordata, Aves, Tinamiformes, Tinamidae.
CGCGGAGAAGGGAAAUCAUCUCAGAGCUUUGAGGAUUUACUGUGAUCCCUGCAGCUUCUUCCAACUUGCAACCAUCCGUAAAGACUCCAAAUGAGGGCUGUUUUCUUAGCCACGCUUUGGCGUGGUUCCUCUCCUUCGCAAAGUUCCUUCUCGUUGCUGGAUGUACUGGGAAAGACUCGCAUUGCAGGAACGUGAUGCUGCAUUUCUCCUCGCCUUGGACUAGCCAACGAGCAACGAUAGCUUUGGACCAAUCCAAUGAGGUGCAUGAGUGGAAAAUCAGGAACAACGCACUCCAUUUUAUUCCUUUUUCUUCUUAAAAUCAGCAUGUCAAAGUAGCUGGAUGAAGAAGGCUUCGAUGUAGCUGGAUGCAAAUGGAUGACAUGAGCUGGAGGUGGUGCCCGAGAUAACGGGCAUCCAUCGCUCCUGCGUUCGAGCUGCGGGUCCCGCCGGGAAGGCGGCAGGAAGCGGAGCCUGACGGGUUCUUCCCCGGGUGCAGGGCAGCUUCUCGCUCUGCUUCAUCGCGUUGCUCCGACGUGUCGGAAUCUGCUUCUGGCAGAUGAUUUCCUUCCUGCCCGAUCGUCCAGGCAAGCCCGGACUUGCUCUGCAGCACAGAUAGACGGUACAGCGAAAAAUCCUAUCUGUCCAGGACUGAUCUGCUGGCCUUUGGCAUUUCCUCAUGGACUGUUGCAAACGUCGAGGUCAGAGACCUCGUU